ACUACGUCUACAGUUCUGUGGUCAGAUAGCUCCGUGGGUUGGCUUUUUAUUGGCUCACAUAUCUGGAUUGAUUGUAUCUUCGUGGAGAUAUAUUAGUUGCACUGUUCCAUGUCUGUUCACUAAUAUCAGACAGUUUCUUCGAUUCAUGUGGGCUGAAGUAUCAGCAUUCUGGAAAACCCACUCGAAUUUUAUUGUGUUUGCAGUUCUUUUGUUGUUGACAGCCACAUGCAUUGAAGCAUCAUUACUUUACUUUUUAAUCUAAGUUUCAUACCAGCCAAGUUUGGCCUAAACUGAAUUCGUCGAGUCCUUCUGCUUUGGGUGGCCACACGUUUAUUAUGGCUUUUCUUCCAUAAUUUUGUGUUGUGCUGCUCAGAUAUCCGAUAUCA
Long non-coding RNA from Arabidopsis thaliana (thale cress), 386 nucleotides. RefSeq annotates it as other RNA. Lineage: Eukaryota; Viridiplantae; Streptophyta; Magnoliopsida; Brassicales; Brassicaceae. The transcript has a single exon. The record is from RefSeq.